AUGAAGACGCGCAAAAUGCGCAAAUCGCCCGAACCGCAGCCGGCGGGUGGCGGAUCGAACACGACCAGUCCGACGUCGUCUCCGUUGCCUCAUCCGGAAUUGACGGUGCAGCAGAAACAACAUUUGCGCGAACGCAAUCUGCAACAGCACGGCGCUGGUGGUCAUCACGCGACGUCAGUCGGAUUGCCUGUCCAGUACACGUCGACGGGCAUCCCCAUCCGGCCAUUUUUGACGCGAGGCUCCGUCGCCGAGAGGGUUCUCAUUUUUGAAAAAUGCCCGACAACCAUCAUGACGGAAUCGGCCACCAAAUCGGACAAGGUGACCUCUGCUGCCACCGCCGCGACGGCAGAAAAAACGAAACGGGCCGGCAGCCCAGCACCGCAGCCUUGGCGACACUCCAACGACGUUCAGACUCGAGUGCAGGGCUAUGCCAAGGAUAACAACAAAGAAAACCGAUCUACAUCGACGAGCAUUUCGUCGCCCAGGUCGACUCUUCGCCGCCAGGCGAAAGCCAACAACAAUCUUCUUUUGCCCAGAUUUUACUACCCAACGGGACGACCCAUCAGUAAAGAACAGCUGGAUGCCUCGCUGUUAAGACUGGCCGCCACGUUUCAACAGCUGCCUAACUGCCAAGCCAGUCGUGAGCACUUUGGAACCAUCGCCAAGGCUUGCGGCUGCCCUUAUUACUGGAAAGCCAUCUUGUUUAUCGCAAGCGGUGGCGAAAAGCUUGGACAUGUUACGCUGGAAACCUUCACCGACUUCUGGGGAAAAAUCAUCAACAACUAUCACGACGAAGCUUCGCGAUUUGUUCAACUCCUGACCAUGAUCAAUCUGAAUGUGACCGUGAGCAGAACAGACAACAAUUUAAACACAUCGAUGAACAACUGUACCGGUUCUGGCCGGUUCUAUCUAAUACCAGAGGAUUUCGUACCUCUUGUGCAAGACGUGGUCGACACCCAUCCGGGAUUGACCUUCCUCAAGGAGGCGGCGGAAUUUCAUUCGCGCUACGUUCACACGGUGAUAGCCAGAAUUUAUUACAAUGUCAACCGAUCCUGGUCAGGCCACAUCACUUUAACCGAACUGCGCCAUUCGAAUCUGUUGGCUACCAUUCGCCUACUGGAAGAAGAGGAAGAUAUUAACCAAAUCACUGACUACUUCAGUUACGAGCAUUUCUACGUCAUCUAUUGCAAGUUUUGGGAACUCGAUAAAGAUCACGACCUCUUUAUCGAUAAGAAAGAUCUGGCUCGUCACAACGAUCACGCGUUGUCUUCUAAGAUGAUUGACCGGAUAUUCUCUGGAGCGGUCACUCGUGGAGUUGCCCAUAAUAAUCGAAUGGUCAAAUUUGGCAAUACCAACACCAAUAUGAACAAUCAGCCGCGUAUGAGUUACACCGAGUUUGUCUGGUUCCUCAUCUCUGAAGAAGACAAGAGACACUCGACGGCUAUCGAGUACUGGUUCAGGUGUAUGGACCUGGACGGCGACGGUUUCCUUUCAAUGUACGAACUGGAAUAUUUUUACGAGGAACAAUUGCAACGGAUGGAAUCUUUAGGCAUAGAAACAUUGCCAUUUGAAGAUUGCCUGUGUCAGAUGUUAGACAUGAUUCAUCCGGCUGUGCCCGGUAAAAUCUCGCUGAACGACCUCAAACGUUGCCAGAUGACACCCAUCUUUUUCGACACGUUCUUCAACCUGGAAAAGUACCUGGAUCACGAACAACGCGAUCCGUUUGCAUCGCAACGCGACCCCGAUUCAGAGAAUGGCGAUGAAAUACUCAAAAUUUCCGACUGGGAUAGAUACGCUGCCGAAGAAUACGAACUCCUUGUGGCCGAAGAGGGUGGACCGGAUCACGGCGAAGACAUGCUCCACGAUACAACCGUGUGAGAGAGAGAGAGAGGCACACGAUGAUUCGUUUGCUAGUGUUGGUCGUGAGCGCGGUUCAUGCGGGAAGAAAUGGCCACAGGCGAAGAGGACGGCAACGACCAUUCUUCUCUUCCCUUAUCGAUGGAACGUGACGUCAUUAUGGCCGAUUCAGAUGUUAACGACGGCCAUGACGAUUAUUCGCCCUUGUCGGUCCAU
RNAcentral lists this unclassified non-coding RNA (2073 nucleotides) under Daphnia magna. RNAcentral describes it as "serine/threonine-protein phosphatase 2A regulatory subunit B'' subunit beta, transcript variant X2". Lineage: Eukaryota; Metazoa; Arthropoda; Branchiopoda; Diplostraca; Daphniidae. The record is from RNAcentral.